This 460-nucleotide ribosomal RNA is filed under the name uncultured bacterium. RNAcentral describes it as "partial 16S ribosomal RNA". It matches the Rfam family "Bacterial small subunit ribosomal RNA", at positions 338 to 795 of the family's 1533-position model. The record is from RNAcentral.
CCUACGGGAGGCAGCAGUGAGGAAUAUUGGUCAAUGGACGAGAGUCUGAACCAGCCAAGUAGCGUGAAGGAUGACUGCCCUAUGUGUUGUAAACUUCUUUUAUAAAGGCAUAAAACGCGGCACGUGUCCCUUUUUGCCGGUCUUUUUUGAAUAAGGAUCGGCUAACUCCGGGCAAGCAGCCGGGGUAAUACGGAGGAGCCGAGCGUUAUCCGGAUUUAUUGGGUUUAAAGGGAGCGUAGUGGGGUUGUGAAGUCUGUUGUGAAAGUUUGCGGCUCAACUGGAAAAUUGCAAUUGAUACUGGCAGGCUAGAGUACAGUAGAGGUAGGCGGAAUUCGUGGUGUAGCGGUGAAAUGCUUAGAUAUCACGAAGAACCCCGGUUGCGAAGGCAGCUUACUAAACUGUAACUGACGUUGAUGCUCGAAAGUGUGGGUAUCAAACAGGAUUAGAUACCCCAGUAGUC